GGCCUAGGGAGACACUAAAUUGCAAGUUUAGUUUUGAAAGUAAAUUUUCAUAGGCUUA
Molecule: transfer RNA, 58 nt
Filed under: Phrynocephalus strauchi
Lineage: Eukaryota; Metazoa; Chordata; Lepidosauria; Squamata; Agamidae
Description: tRNA-Cys
Source: RNAcentral